CGAACUUCUCUUCUUCACAACCAUCGUACAUCGCAAUUACAAACAGUUACAAAGGUUGAACUUUUCCUUCUUCUUCACAACCACCGUACAUUA
Molecule: non-coding RNA, 93 nt
Filed under: Stygamoeba regulata
Lineage: Eukaryota; Discosea; Stygamoebida
Source: RNAcentral